UUCGGGGUACUCGAGCGGCGAACGGGUGAGUAACACGUGAGUAAUCUGCCCCAGGCUCUGGGAUAGCCACCGGAAACGGUGAUUAAUACCGGAUACGACAACCGAUUGCAUGAUCUGGUUGUGGAAAGUUUUUCGGCCUGGGAUGUGCUCGCGGCCUAUCAGCUUGUUGGUGAGGUAAUGGCUCACCAAGGCUUCGACGGGUAGCCGGCCUGAGAGGGUGACCGGCCACACUGGGACUGAGACACGGCCCAGACUCCUACGGGAGGCAGCAGUGGGGAAUAUUGGACAAUGGGCGGAAGCCUGAUCCAGCAACGCCGCGUGAGGGAUGACGGCCUUCGGGUUGUAAACCUCUUUCAGCACAGACGAAGCGCAAGUGACGGUAUGUGCAGAAGAAGGACCGGCCAACUACGUGCCAGCAGCCGCGGUAAUACGUAGGGUCCGAGCGUUGUCCGGAAUUAUUGGGCGUAAAGGGCUCGUAGGCGGUCUGUCGCGUCGGGAGUGAAAACCAGGUGCUUAACACCUGGCCUGCUUUCGAUACGGGCAGACUAGAGGUACUCAGGGGAGAAUGGAAUUCCUGGUGUAGCGGUGAAAUGCGCAGAUAUCAGGAGGAACACCGGUGGCGAAGGCGGUUCUCUGGGAGUAUCCUGACGCUGAGGAGCGAAAGUGUGGGGAGCGAACAGGAUUAGAUACCCUGGUAGUCCACACCGUAAACGUUG
RNAcentral lists this ribosomal RNA (716 nucleotides) under Nocardioides sp. YIM 48812. RNAcentral's name for it is "bacterial SSU rRNA". It matches the Rfam family "Bacterial small subunit ribosomal RNA", at positions 81 to 811 of the family's 1533-position model. The record is from RNAcentral. Lineage: Bacteria; Bacillati; Actinomycetota; Actinomycetes; Propionibacteriales; Nocardioidaceae.